Molecule: long non-coding RNA, 299 nt
Filed under: Homo sapiens (human)
Lineage: Eukaryota; Metazoa; Chordata; Mammalia; Primates; Hominidae
Description: non-protein coding lnc-SHPRH-1:4
Source: RNAcentral
GUCUGGGGAGAAAUCGAGGAUAAGAUGCAAAGCGCAGCAAAUAGGAGCCACUCUUUCAGAGAUGACAGACCACCUGGUUUCGAGGAGCAGCAGACAGCGUGAAUGAAUGAAGUUGGCCAGUUCUGUGUGUUGACUGGAAUCACCUGGGAAGUUUUAGUCCUGUGAUACCACCUGGAACCACAGACAGAGUGAGGACACAGCAAGAAGAUGAUCAUCUGCAAGCCAAGAAGAGGGGUCUCACCAGAAUCCUAUAAUGCUGGCACCCUGAUAUUUUACUUUCCACCUUCCAUAAAUGUGAG